This 253-nucleotide ribosomal RNA is filed under the name uncultured bacterium. RNAcentral describes it as "partial 16S ribosomal RNA". It matches the Rfam family "Bacterial small subunit ribosomal RNA", at positions 524 to 776 of the family's 1533-position model. The record is from RNAcentral.
UACGUAGGGUGCAGGCGUUAAUCGGAAUUACUGGGCGUAAAGCGUGCGCAGGCGGUUGUGCAAGUCAGAUGUGAAAUCCCCGGGCUUAACCUGGGAACUGCAUUUGUGACUGCACGGCUAGAGUGUGUCAGAGGGGGGUAGAAUUCCACGUGUAGCAGUGAAAUGCGUAGAUAUGUGGAGGAAUACCGAUGGCGAAGGCAGCCCCCUGGGAUAACACUGACGCUCAUGCACGAAAGCGUGGGGAGCAAACAGG